RNAcentral lists this ribosomal RNA (477 nucleotides) under uncultured bacterium. RNAcentral's name for it is "bacterial SSU rRNA". It matches the Rfam family "Bacterial small subunit ribosomal RNA", at positions 28 to 502 of the family's 1533-position model. The record is from RNAcentral.
GACGAACGCUGGCGGCGUGCCUAACACAUGCAAGUCGAACGGAACUGUUUUGAAAGAUUUCUUCGGAAUGAAUUUGAUUUAGUUUAGUGGCGGACGGGUGAGUAACGCGUGAGUAACCUGCCUUCAAGAGGGGGAUAACAUUCUGAAAAGAAUGCUAAUACCGCAUGACAUAUCGGAAUCACAUGGUUUUGAUAUCAAAGAUUUUAUCGCUUGAAGAUGGACUCGCGUCCGAUUAGUUAGUUGGUGAGGUAACGGCUCACCAAGACCGCGAUCGGUAGCCGGACUGAGAGGUUGAACGGCCACAUUGGGACUGAGACACGGCCCAGACUCCUACGGGAGGCAGCAGUGGGGGAUAUUGCGCAAUGGGGGCAACCCUGACGCAGCAACGCCGCGUGAAGGAUGAAGGUUUUCGGAUUGUAAACUUCUUUUAUUAAGGACGAAACUUGACGGUACUUAAUGAAUAAGCUCCGGCUAACU